RNAcentral lists this ribosomal RNA (460 nucleotides) under uncultured bacterium. RNAcentral describes it as "partial 16S ribosomal RNA". It matches the Rfam family "Bacterial small subunit ribosomal RNA", at positions 338 to 795 of the family's 1533-position model. The record is from RNAcentral.
CCUACGGGUGGCAGCAGUGAGGAAUAUUGGUCAAUGGACGAGAGUCUGAACCAGACAAGUAGCGUGAAGGAUGACUGCCCUAUGGGUUGUAAACUUCUUUUAUAUGGGAAUAAAAUGUUCCACGUGUGGGAUUUUGUAUGUACCAUAUGAAUAAGGAUCGGCUAACUCCGUGCCAGCAGCCGCGGUAAUACGGAGGAUCCGCGCGUUAUCCGGAUUUAUUGGGUUUAAAGGGAGCGUAGGGGGAUUGUUAAGUCAGUUGUGAAAGUUUGCGGCUCAACCGUAAAAUUGCAGUUGAAACUGGCAGUCUUGAGUACAGUAGAGGUGUGCGGAAUGCGUGGUGUAGCGGUGAAAUGCUUAGAUAUCACGAAGAACUCCGAUUGCGAAGGCAGUUCACUGGACUGCAACUGACACUGAGGCUCGAAAGUGUGGGUAUCAAACAGGAUUAGAUACCCUUGUAGUC